Homo sapiens (human) is the source of this 596-nucleotide long non-coding RNA. The record is from Ensembl. NCBI's taxonomy places the organism in Eukaryota, Metazoa, Chordata, Mammalia, Primates, Hominidae.
AGACCACGGACACAUAGCCGUUUGCAGCCGGGAGGUUAGGGACUCCUGCUUACGGUGUAUAUCUAGAAGCAGGCUAAUCGAGCUUUAUCCAUCUUCAAACCCAGUAAUGGCCCAUGGAAUGCUUCUCAUGCCUCAAAUCUCUUUGUCUUCCCAUUCUGCUACCUGACUGUAAAGUUCUCACAUGAACUGUGCCACAAUACACAUAUCAAAGACUUGGAACCAAUCCAAAUGCCCAUCAAUCAUAGACUGGAUAAAGAAAAUAUGCACUUCUCCUUCGUGCCAUCAUGUGAAGAAGGAUGUGUUUGCUUCCCCUUCAACCAUGAUUGUAAGUUUCCUGAGGCCUCCGCAGCCAUGCAGAACUGUGAGUCAAUUAAACCUCUUUCCUUUCUAAAUGACACAGUCUUGGGCAGCCCUUUAGAGCAGUGUAAGAACAGACUAAUAUAUACUCUAACAUUAGAAUAUUUUUUAGGUUUAUUGUCAAAAAUACUCUUAUACAUAGCAAGAUGUAUUUAUUUUCUAUUCUAUAAUAUUCACAUAAAAAGAACACGCUUAGUCCAAAACAUAAGUUCUCAAUGUUUUUGAUUCAUUUACAUAUA